RNAcentral lists this ribosomal RNA (116 nucleotides) under Candidatus Anaerobiospirillum pullicola. The record is from RNAcentral. Lineage: Bacteria; Pseudomonadati; Pseudomonadota; Gammaproteobacteria; Aeromonadales; Succinivibrionaceae.
CUUGGCGACCAUAGUGCUGUAGUCCCACCUGUAUCCAUUCCGAACACAGAAGUGAAAUGCAGUCACGCCGAUGGUAGUGCAACGAACGAUUGUGCGAGAGUAGGUCAUCGCCAAGC